CCAAUAGCGUAUAUUAAAGUUGUUGCAGUUAAAAAGCUCGUAGUUGAAUUUCGGGGUUAGUAGGUUGGUCGUGCCAAUGGUAUGCACUGGCCUCACUGAUUCCUCCUUCUUGAUGAACCUUAAUGCCAUUAAUUUGGUGUUUUGGGGAAUCUGGACUGUUACUUUGAAAAAAUUAGAGUGUUUAAAGCAAGCUAACGCUUGAAUACAUUAGCAUGGAAUAAUGAAAUAGGACGUUCGGUCUUAUUUUGUUGGUUUCUAAGAUUGACGUAAUGAUUAAUAGGGAUAGUUGGGGGCAUUAGUAUUCAAUUGUCAGAGGUGAAAUUCUUGGAUUUAUUGAAGACUAACUACUGCGAAAGCAUUUGCCAAGGAUGUUUUCAUUAAUCAAGAACGAAAGUUAGGGGAUCGAAGACGAUCAGAUACCGUCGUAGUCUUAACCAUAAACUAUGCCGACUAGGGAUCGGAUGAUGUUAAUUUUUUAAUGACUCAUUCGGCGCCUUACG
RNAcentral lists this ribosomal RNA (500 nucleotides) under uncultured Glomeromycotina. Its description in RNAcentral is "partial small subunit ribosomal RNA". It matches the Rfam family "Eukaryotic small subunit ribosomal RNA", at positions 591 to 1092 of the family's 1831-position model. The record is from RNAcentral. Lineage: Eukaryota; Fungi; Glomeromycota.